UGGACACCAGGAGAUCUUCAU
Molecule: microRNA, 21 nt
Filed under: Taeniopygia guttata (zebra finch)
Lineage: Eukaryota; Metazoa; Chordata; Aves; Passeriformes; Estrildidae
Description: tgu-miR-2986
Source: miRBase by way of RNAcentral